Hippoglossus stenolepis (Pacific halibut) is the source of this 109-nucleotide small nuclear RNA. The record is from RefSeq and is a predicted model, not a curated record. Lineage: Eukaryota; Metazoa; Chordata; Actinopteri; Pleuronectiformes; Pleuronectidae.
GUACUUGCUUCGUGGUAUAUAAUAAAUUGAAUCCCCGAUACAGAGAGAAGAUUAGCAUGGCCCCUGCGAAAGGAUGACCACAUAAAUUAAGUAGGCGUUUCCAUAUUUU